ACAGAGAAAGGAGUCGGGGAGACUGGCAGGCUGGAAAGCCGGCGCAGGGAGGUCACCUUUGAUGUAGACAUCGUCGUCGGCGCGCAUGAACCACUCAUACUUGUCCAGAAAUCAGCAUGAGAAGAUGAUCAAAAUUCAUAUAUUGAAACAUGAAAAGGUAAAUUAUUUAUGGCAUAUCAUAAAACUAUGUAAGUUUCAGAGCCUGGUAUUAAUCUGCAUUUAAUCACCAUGAAAAUAUUCCAGUAAAUUUUUUUACACUGAGCAGAUUUGAUGCUACCAAAGGUUUAUUAAUCAAGAAUUACUUUUUAGGUAUGAUAAUGCUAUUGUAGCCUUGUUUUUUUAUACAAAGAGUCCUUAUUUUCUGAAAUACAUACUGAAAUGUUUAUAGAUAAAAUGGUAUGAUAUCUGGGAUUUAAAUAUAUGGGAUGGAGGGAGGUGCUAAAUGGAUGUAGAUGUGAAUAGGGUCUGAUUGGCCAGGUAUUGAUUACUAUUAGGGUAGGUAAUUAUCUUCAGAUAAAUUUGGAUCUCUAUAAUAAAAAGAUUUUUAAAAAAUACUUCAUUUGUUUAAGGUCAGAACAUACUCUUCAUUUAUUUUCUGUAGAUUUACCUAACCAAGAUAUGGUCCACUUGUUUAAACAAUCAGUGAGAAGAUCAAUUGAGGAGGAAAGAAUGAAACUCCUCCUGUCACUUAGGAAAGGGUCAAAAAGCAAUCAAUUGAAAUAAAAACAUCCACUUCUUCCAGCCCUUCUUGGCCCCAUGACAGUCUGAGACAUAAGCAAAAUACUCGGUCAAGCUUUUACAAAGAAAAAGGGACUAUUUACACAUGAGAAUUUUUUCGUAAGUAGUAAUAGUCUCUGAUUAGGUAAUGGGCUGCAAAAUCUCAAGUUCCUAAUCACUAAACUGAAUUUAUGCUAAAAAAAAAA
This is a long non-coding RNA of Homo sapiens (human), 923 nucleotides long. The record is from Ensembl. NCBI's taxonomy places the organism in Eukaryota, Metazoa, Chordata, Mammalia, Primates, Hominidae.